This is a long non-coding RNA of Agrilus planipennis (emerald ash borer), 292 nucleotides long. RefSeq lists it as uncharacterized. The transcript is spliced from 3 exons. NCBI's taxonomy places the organism in Eukaryota, Metazoa, Arthropoda, Insecta, Coleoptera, Buprestidae. The record is from RefSeq and is a predicted model, not a curated record.
UUAAAAGUGAAGUCAUAGUAUUCUGUCUGUCGUGAUUAUAUUUAUGUUCUUUUAAUCUGAGCUCUACAAAAAAACUUCGUGUAGCAUUACGUCGACGAAAACUAGGAUACCUCCGGUACCUAUGGAAUACCUACUAUUGAAGGCCAGAGAACCAUCGAGUUCCUACCAUUGGAACUAUUAUGAACCUCCUUAAUUAACGAUGAAAUGCAGGCCUUUCCUCGCACUUAUCAAUAACGUGAUGGUCCACCAGAUGGGAAUUAAGUACAAUCAUGCCAGACUGAAGUCUUUGCGC